GCACCUUAGAGACCAGCUAAAUUUGUUCUUGGUAUGAGCUUCCAUGUGCAUGCACACUUCUUCAGAUACCAAGAACAAGAUACUAAGAACAAACUUGGCUGGCCUCUGAGGUGC
Podarcis lilfordi (Lilford's wall lizard) is the source of this 114-nucleotide non-coding RNA. The record is from the annotation of a GenBank genome assembly. Lineage: Eukaryota; Metazoa; Chordata; Lepidosauria; Squamata; Lacertidae.